AGUGAACGCUGGCGGUAGGCCUAACACAUGCAAGUCGAACGGCAGCACAGUAAGAGCUUGCUCUUACGGGUGGCGAGUGGCGGACGGGUGAGGAAUACAUCGGAAUCUACUUUUUCGUGGGGGAUAACGUAGGGAAACUUACGCUAAUACCGCAUACGACCUACGGGUGAAAGCAGGGGAUCUUCUGACCUUGCGCGAUUGAAUGAGCCGAUGUCGGAUUAGCUAGUUGGCGGGGUAAAGGCCCACCAAGGCGACGAUCCGUAGCUGGUCUGAGAGGAUGAUCAGCCACACUGGAACUGAGACACGGUCCAGACUCCUACGGGAGGCCGCAGUGGGGACUAUUGGACAAUGGGCGCAAGCCUGAUCCAGCCAUACCGCGUGGGUGAAGAAGGCCUUCGGGUUGUAAAGCCCUUUUGUUGGGAAAGAAAAGCAGCAGGUUAAUACCCCGCUGUUCUGACGGUACCCAAAGAAUAAGCACCGGCUAACUUCGUG
Molecule: ribosomal RNA, 492 nt
Filed under: uncultured bacterium
Lineage: Bacteria
Description: partial 16S ribosomal RNA
Rfam family: Bacterial small subunit ribosomal RNA
Source: RNAcentral